This 1342-nucleotide long non-coding RNA is filed under the name Mustela putorius furo (domestic ferret). RNAcentral's name for it is "lncRNA (ENSMPUG00000026868.1)". Lineage: Eukaryota; Metazoa; Chordata; Mammalia; Carnivora; Mustelidae. The record is from RNAcentral.
CCUGGCAGCAGCUUUCUUUUCUUCUCUUUGCUAGAAAUUUCCUUUCUUUCCUUUCUACUCACAGAGGGAAAUGGAAGCCCGCUAGCAGAACACAUCUUUCCACAGGACUCUGACACAGGAGUCUGCGUUUCCUGGUUUACACGACCGUCCUUGAGGAGAGGAAUUUUUCAUCGCACUCCGGAGACAAAGGAGCCUCGGGGAUAAUCAGUCAAGAUCCUAAACAUGGCGGCAGGCAGUCUUCUUUGGAACUCACACUUCCAUUUCCCACAACUGCCCACAGGGGUGCCUUCCUUCCAGCACUGCGGCUUAUAUUAUCUCAAUCUCCACUGGUUUCUGAAAACUGCUUGGAAAGGAAAGAUCCAAAUGAUCCACCCCCUUCAAAUCUCACUGCCUCACAAAUACAUCCUUCUCCUCACCCCAGCCCGUGUGGGGUUAAAGGAAAAUCGAUUGGAAAUCUCCAUCGGGACCUACAGGAGAACACUACUGCCCAGGUUCGCUGGCUGUCUGGGCUUCCGUGACAUCUCUCCUUUUGUCUCCAGUAGGAAACUAUCCAUGCACCUUCUUCCUGCCCCGCAGUCCUGUUGUCCUCUGGAUAUCGUCUGAGUGUCUUUGGGUCUCGCAGGGCUCAGAGCAAGGGAGCUGGACACACCUCAUCUCUCUACCUAGCUCCAAGGUUUCCACUGAGAACCAAAUGAACUAUUGUAUCCAAAAUGCUUGGUAAAGCAAGGCAAGCCCAUAUAUGUGUGAUUAAAGUACUAGUCUUUUUUUUUUUUUUUUUAAAGAAGUACUAGUCUUAAAAAAGUCUCACUACAGAGCUCCUUUUCUUGCCUCUGCAUGUCUCUAUCUCAUGUGUGUAUAUUUAACCUCAUCAGCCCAAGAGUGCAUCUGGCCAAGCAUAGUUGCAAAGUUUCGGAUGCUUUAUUUUUUAAACAGUUCUUUCUGUGUCACCAUGGAAGUGUUAUAGGGUUCAGAUUCCAAUUAGUACGACUGAUGGUCAACUCUUCAUUAUCAAUGGACUUUAGGAGCAACCUGCAUUGAGAAGAACAGGAGCUGGAGAAAGUGCUUUUAUAAUGAGCAGUGUUUUUCAUCUACCUUAGCAUCCUCAGAGCAAAUUGAAUUCGGUAAUCCCCAAAAGGCCUAAAGAUGAACUAUCUUAUUUUUUAAGACAAAGAUGAACUCAGUGUCAGGGCUGUGCAAGAAUAUUAUUGCUGUUUCUUUUAUUAUCAUAUAUAGUACCUUUCUGUUGAAAAGCCAAAAGGCAUUUUACAAAAUCUGACAGUGAUCCUCAUGAUGUCCCUCUGGGCUCAAUAGGCUUCAUUACAAACAAUAAAUAAUAACUGCC